GCAUCAACCCUAGCCAUGGCGACAUUGCUAGUUAGCUCCUGGGGGAGCUUGGCCUACUGUCCGACCUCACUCCCUUCCACCUAAAUUCUAACCUGUUGAAAAUUUGAAUGUGUGGGGGUGGAAGCAAUUGAUAGUUUUUGUGGUGGACAAGUGACAAGCUAAAAUAGUUGGAGAAUAUAGGUCAUGGGAUAGGGAAAAUUACCAAAAAGGUCCUAGACCUAUUGUAAUUAUGCCAAUUCAAUCCUAAACUUUUUUUUUUUGGCCAAUUUAGUCCUAAACCUUUUGUUUUUGUUCCAGUUCAGUCCAUCCGGCCAUGCAUAGUCGGAAAAAUCUGACGUGGCAUCCUAGUCAGUGCCGGUCGGCGUUGCUGAUGCUGACAUGGCACCGGAGAGCAAAACGUCGUCGUUUUGCUUUUAAAAAAAAAAGCCAAAGAGAAAAGGCAUAAGAGAAAAGGGCGUGAAGAGAAAAGGGCGUGGGGUUGGCUGGGUUCUUUCCCAAAAUCAAGUAGGGAACCUAAAUUGAGAGGAUCUUCCCUUGAUUCAUGGUGCCCGACAUUCAUUCUUGGUGGAUGCCUUUGUUCAACACCUCCGUCGAAACGCUUUGGGCCUCCGCUUGCCCAACGCCUCUGCUCACGCCUCCGUCCAGCCCCUUCCAGCAACGCUUGCCCAACGCCUCUAUUCGAGAGCCUACAUCCAAUCCUUCUGGCNNNNNNNNNNNNNNNNNNNNNNNNNNNNNNNNNNNNNNNNNNNNNNNNNNNNNNNNNNNNNNNNNNNNNNNNNNNNNNNNNNNNNNNNNNNNNNNNNNNNGACGCCUCCGUCCGACGCUCGGCUCACCCAACAUCUUCGUCCGACGCUCGCUCGACACCUACAUCCGACGCUUGCUUAGAUUCGCCUGCUUGCUUGACGCUCACUGAACGCCUUUGAUCAUUUUCUUGAAAUGCGGUGCUUUAUAUUUAUGUUGUCUUGAUUUCACUUGAAUUUUAUUUUAAAUUUCGUUGACAUGGGUUUGUCGCAGUAAUGGGUUUGUGGUUGUUGAACUGGAUGGUUGGGCAAAUUGCUGACAUGAGUUUAUGGAUGGUCUCACGUAGAAUGUCUCUAUCUUGCCUAGAAUGUUUGGCAUUGUUGCUGCUUUUGGCUCAUUUGGGAAGAAUAUAUUACUUUGAGUUGCUACUUUUGGCUCAUUUGGGAAGAAUAUAUUACUUUUGAGUUGUUGCCUUUGGUUCAGAUUGACAAAGUUUGUUAGGUAUAUGGAGUUCCUAAUAUACUUCUCGUUCAGAUUUUCCAAAGCUCGUCUAGAUCACCUAAAUCUCAUUGCAAUUGCAGCAAUUUUGGCCUGCCUAUGUUGUGGAUUUUAUAUUAUACUUGGAGGGAUUUUGUAUAUAUCAUCCAUGAGCACAUAUGUCAUAUGAUCUGAUCAUGUUUUGAAUUCAAUCUGCAUUAGCUCCUUCCAGUCCCAGAUGUCAUAUGAUCUGAUCAUGUUUUGAAUUCCCGAUACUGAUGCAGUCAUUCUUAUAAGAAGAUUGAGAGCACAAUUAUUCUUUUAUUGUUGGUAUCUGACUAUGCUUUUUGUUGUGCUGAUCAUGUCCACGCUGACUAAUGUUUUCAAUUGGUUGGCCGGCUCAACAAUAGUGCUGUCUCAUCAGCCGGUGCUAAGUUGGCAUUCAAGUCCAAUGAAGAAAUAGAACUUCAAGUAAGGUCCAUCCCACUAGACGAAGUGAUACUAGAGUUAGAACAGGUUCUUCUCGUCAAAAUAGAUGUUCAGGGCUGGGAGCAUCAUGUUUUGAAAGGGACCGUGAAGUUGUUGUCGAGAGAGGUAGGCAAGGCACCGUAUUUGAUAUAUGAGGAGGAUGAACGGUUGUUGCAGGCAAGUAACAGCAGUUCUAAAGAGAUUCGAGAAUUUCAUCACUCUGUUGGGUAUCGUCAUUGCACCCAGCAUGGUACAGACGCAAAUUGCACCAAGAACAGCUGAUAGUGGAUUAAUUUACCUUAGCCUUGUUGAUGUAAGAUCACCGAGUCAAGCAUGAAAAGGGACAAUUCUUUAACAGAGUUCUUUGUGAGAGUUUUGCCUACCUUAGACAGAACUUCCACUCAGUUCUAGAUGGAGAAUUAGAUUUGGAAUUGUAAUGAGACACACUGUCCAUUGAAGGAGCCAGUUAUUGAGCAAGUGAGGAAGCACAGAUACAUUAUGGUUUUCUCUUGGAGUAUAGUUAGGGUUGUAUAUGUCGCCAUUAGAUCUACCACACCCAAUUUGUUAUUAUGUUUAUUUAUUGCAAUUCAUGCUUUGUAUUUGUAGCAAAUGACCUUGUGAUUUGCGAGUGAAUGCAGAAUAAGUUGUUGACCAGAGCUUACAGAGGCAUAUUCAACACAUUUUCACUUGUAGUCUUGUUUUUCGUGUGAAUUUAUAUCUCCAUGAGAAUAAAGCAAUUUGACCACAUUUAGAAUGUACUCAUGGUAGUCUGGUUUGAUUGAAGUACGUAUAAAAGUUUGAUAGUUUCAGGGAUUUGUGAGUUUGUGUUUAUGCAUGAACAAGAGAGAACAAGAGGAUUCUCCAUUCUACCAAAAAUAAAUUCGUACAUGCUCCCAUACUUAAAAUUAAUCUAUCAAAUUUUGCACACACCUAGUUUAAAACCUCAUUAUCUUACUGAGCAAAUGAAAUUUGGCGUUCAAACCUGACACCUUAUUUUUUUCUUUAUUUCUUGCCCAACAACCCAUUUUGAAAUAAACUUGGCCAACUGUUCUUUUAUUUUUUUUUCUUUAAAGCUUUCGGAAAUAAAUUCGUAUGUGUUUUUGUACUCAAAAUUAUUCCAUCAAACUUUGCACACACCUAGUUUAAAACAUCAUUGUUUUAUUAAGCAAAUAAAUAUUUGCGUCCAAAUCCGAACCUCAUUUCUUUUUCUUUUUUUUUUAUUUCUUGCCCAACAACUCUUUUUGAAAUAAACUUGGCCAAACUUUUCUUUUUCUUUAAAGCUUUCGGAAAUAAAUUCGUAUAUGCUCCUCUACUCAAAAUUAUUCUAUCAAACUUUGCACGGAUCUAGUUUAAAACCUCAUUGUCUUAUUGAGCAAAUAAAUUUUUGCGUCCAAACCCAACACCUCAUUUUUAUUUUUAUUUUGCCCAACAACUCCUUUUGAAAUAAACUUGGCCAACUGUUCAUUUUUUUUUCCUUUAAAGUUUUUUUUUUUUGUGACCCAGGGGAACCCCACACAGCCGACAGCUGGGAGUAAACCCCUGGGGAGGCACGUAGGAAACCACCACCCAUGCACCCCGGGUAAGUCGCCAAGUGUCUCCACCUGCCUCCCUACCACUUGCGUCGCCAGGGCUUCGAACUCCGGCCUCCAGCGUGGAAGUCCAGAAGCCUACCAACAGAGCCACCCUUGCGGGUGGUAUUUUCCUUUAAAGUUUUUGGAAAUAAAUUCGUACAUGCUCCCGUACUCAAAAUUAUUCCAUCAAACUUUGCAUGGAUCUAGUUUAAAACCUCAUUAUCUUAUUGAGCAAAUAAAUUUUUGCGUCUAAACCCAACACCUCAUUUUUUUUUUUUUGCCCAACAACCCAUUUUGAAAUAAACUUAGCCAACAGUUUUUUUUUUCCUUUAAAGUUUUCGGAAAUAAAUUCGUACGUACUCCCGUACUCAAAAUUAUUCCAUCAAACUUUGCAUACACUUAAUUUAAAACCUCAUUGUCUUAUUGAGCAAAUAAUUUUUUGUGUCCAAACCCGGCACCUCAUUUUUUUUUUUUUGCGCAACCCCUUUUGAAAUAAACUUGGCCAACUGUUUUUUUUUUCUUUUAAAGCUUUCGGAAAUAAAUUUGUACGUGCUCCCGUACUCAAAAUUAUUCCAUCAAACUUUGUACGCACCUAGUUGAAAACCUCAUUGUCUUAUUGAGAAAAUAAAUUUUUGCGUCCAAACCCGACACCUCAUUUUUUCUUUAUUUAUUGCCCAACAACCCUUUUUAAAAUAAACUUGGCCAACUUUUUUUUUCUUUAAAACUUUCGGAAAUAAAUUCGUACAUACUCACGUACUCAAAAUUAUUCCAUCAAACUUUGCACGCGUCUAGUUUAAAACAUCAUUGUUUUAUUGAGCAAACAAAAUUUGACAUACAAACCUGACACUUCAUUUUUUUUUUUGCUAUUUCUUGCCCAACAACCCUUUUUAAAAUAAACUUGGCCAAUUGUUCUUUUUUUUUUUUGGUUAAUACCUUUAAAAACCCCAAACUGGUACACCUGUGACAAAUUUACCCAAAACUAUUUUUUUGGCUUCCAAAAACCCAAAACUUAUAUAUUUUUGACAAAUUUACCCCAAAUUGGUAUAAUUGUGACAAAUUUACCAUCCGUUAGUUUUUGUUAAAUUUUACAGUAAAAUUAUUAAGUUAGUGAAAGGUAUAUUUGUCACAAAUUUACUAAUUUGAGGUUUUUUGCGGUCGAAUAAAUUAGUUUGGGGAUAAAUUUGUCAUAAAUGUACCAGUUUAUGGUUUUUUUAUGGUUAGUCGGGGUAAAUUUGUCACAGGUAUACCAGUUUGAGAUUUUUCAUGGUCAAGAAAAUAGUUUGGGGUAAAUUUGUCACAUGUGUACCAGUUUGGGGAUUUUUUAGGGUAUUAACCCUUUUUUUUUCUUUAAAGCUUUCGAAAAUAAAUUCGUAUGUACUAUCGUAUUCAAAAUUAUUCCAUCAAAAUUUGCACGCACCUAGUUGAAAACCUCAUUGUCUUAUUGAGAAAAUAAAUUUUUGCGUCCAAAUCCGACACCUCAUUUUAUUUAUUUAUUUCUUGCCUAACAACCCUUUUUUAAAUAAACCUGGCCAACUUUUUUUUUUCUUUAAAGCUUUCGGAAAUAAAUUCGUAUGUGCUCCUGUACUCAAAAUUAUUCUAUCAAACUUUACACGGAUCUAGUUUAAAAUCUCAUUGUCUUAUUGAGCAAAUAAAUUUUUGCGUCCAAACCCAACACCUCAUUUUUGUUUUUUUUUGCUCAACAACCCAUUUUGAAAUAAACUUGGCCAACUGUUCUUUUUUUUUUUCUUUAAAGUUUUCGGAAAUAAAUUCGUACGUAUUCCCGUACUUAAAAUUAUUCCAUCAAACUUUUGCACACACCUAGUUUAAACCUCAUUGUCUUAUUGGAAAAAUAAUUUUUUGUGUCCAAACCCGACACCUCAUUUUUUUUUUAUUUCUUGCCCAACAACUCUUUUUGAAAUAAACUUGGCCAACUUUUUUUUUUCUGUAAAGCUUUCGGAAAUAAAUUCGUAUGUGCUCUCGUACUCAAAAUUAUUCCAUCAAAAUUUGCACGCACCUAGUUUAAAAUCUGAUUGUUUUAUUGAGCAAAUAAAAUUUGGCAUACAAAGCCAACACCUCAAUUUUUUUUUUUUUAUUUCUUGCCCAACAACUAUUUUUGAAAUAAACUUGGCUAACUUUUUUUUUUUUAAAAAGCUUUCAGAAAUAAAUUCGUACGUGCUCCUGUACUCAAAAUUAUUCCAUCAAACUUUGCACGCACCUAGUUUAAAACCUCAUUGUUUUAUUGAGCAAAUAAAAUUUGACAUCCAAACCUGACACUUCAUUUUUUUUUUUUUUUACCCAACAACCCUUUUAGAAAUAAAUUUGGCCAACUGGUCUUUUUUUUUUUCUUUAAAAUUUUCGGAAAUAAAUUCGUAUAUGCUCCCGUAUUCAAAAUUAUUCUAUCAAACUUUACACGCUCCUAGUUUAAAACCUCAUUGUCUUAUUGGGAAAAUAAAUUUUUGCGUCUAAACCCAAUACCUCAUUUUUUUUUUAUUUCUUGCCCAACAACCAUUUUUGAAAAAAACUUGGCCAACUUUUUUUUUAAAGCUUUCGGAAAUAAAUUCGUAUGUGCUCCGGUACUCAAAAUUAUUCCAUCAAACUUUGCACGCACCUAGUUUAAAAUCUUAUUGUUUUAUUGAGCAAAUAAAAUUUGGCAUCCAAACCCGACACUUCAUUUUUUUUUAUAUUUCUUGUCCAACAACCCUUUUCUAAAUAAAUUUGGCCAACUGUUCUUUUUUUUUUUCUUUAAAACUUUCGGAAAUAAAUUCGUACGUGCUCAGCUACAAGUUUUUUUGUUUUCUCGGGAUAAUGGUUUCGUUUUUUCUUUUUAAAUUGAAAUGGACUUUUAUGUGGGGCGCUCACAAUUGCACCACAUCCCAGAGAAGUACUAAUCCAUUAAGUAUGAAAAAAGCAAAUGAUAGCAUGCACAAUCUCAUUACUUCACGAACAAACACUAGCUAUACAUUAUUCAAGUAAAAAAUAGAUGAAUAAACCCAUUUUACUAUAAUAAGAUGGUCCAAAAGCACAUCAUCUCACUAAUCCCAACCGUUGUACAAAUGGCCAUAUAAGACAAAUCAAAAAGAUACAUCCACAACCCUACUUCAUUGAUGCCAUCAUCAAUGAAAAGAACAAAUUGAUCAAAACCACUUCACCGAACCCAUUAUCAUAAAAGAUAUUCCCAAAUGUUGUCACUUUUGUCUCUUCGAAUAACUUCUAACGCUUGUGCUCUUGACAUUAGUAGGAGGAUCCAUACUAGUAGAGCCACCAGCACUGCCACUUGCAUUUUUAUUUGUACGUUUCUGAACCUACAAAGAGUAUAUUCUUUUAAAGUAUUAUUGACAAAACAAACAUGACAUAAUAGAAAUGGAAGUACUAAUCAGAUUUUUUUGUCUUGAAAAUUGUGUUUGGGAAGAUGUAGACCUAAUCUUUUUAAUUGGACAAGUUGAACUAUUGUGUCCCGUCUUCAAGCAAGUUCGACAUGUCAUCUUCAUUCCUAUCCUCGACAUCCUAGUUCCACUUGCCACCUCACCUUCUUCUCUUGAUCUUUUCUGUUUACGUCUACCGCGCUUCACCCGGGAUGGAAGUGGUUCAGGCGACUCCCUAUGAGUCUUUUUUCCAAAAUCUCUCUCCUCGAAUUGGCAUCAUCAUGUUUUCAUACGCAUUUAAGAACUUGGCCUUCUUAUAACAUUUAUCAACAUAAUUGUAUGCAUCCUCUUGCCUAUGAUUUAUAGCAGAAAUUGCAUGAGGACAAGGGAUGCCAGUAAGUUGCCAUUUUCUACAAGAGCAAUCUUUCUUGAAUACAUCCACUACAUAUUUGUCACCUUUAUCAAUUACCUCAUAUCCAACAUCACCAUUUCAUAUCACUUGACAGUAUGUUGCACCAAUUCUAUUUUCUGCUAGUUUUUUUAUGAUUCUUGGACCACAAUUUCUUUUCCACUUAGCACAUGCAUCCCUCUGUCUAUGCAUCAUUGUCAUUAUCAUUAUCCGCAUUUCCUCCAACAUAUUAUAUAUGGACUUACACUUAGCAUGUAUAAUUUUUCCAUUGAAUGCUUCGCAUAAGAUUGUUACAUUUCACAUAAGUAUUAAAGAAAGCCUUACACCAGUGUUUUGGCUCUGUUUGCACCAGAUCAUGAUAUGCACAAGGACUAAUUUUCUUCGAUGCCUGAGAGUGUUCAUCAUACUCCGUCCUAGUAUUGCUCUUAGCACACUGCCAAAAUAGUCUUUGCAUUUGUAUUCUCUUAUGUUUCUUGCCUCAAUUAGCAUAGAUGUGUCUAGCACACAUCCUAUGCUCAGCUGCAGGCAGUAAAUCAGCCACGGCUCCUAUAAGGCCCUGCAAAAANNNNNNNNNNNNNNNNNNNNNNNNNNNNNNNNNNNNNNNNNNNNNNNNNNNNNNNNNNNNNNNNNNNNNNNNNNNNNNNNNNNNNNNNNNNNNNNNNNNNNNNNNNNNNNNNNNNNNNNNNNNNNNNNNNNNNNNNNNNNNNNNNNNNNNNNNNNNNNNNNNNNNNNNNNNNGUCGCUACUCUCAACUCUGACAACCGCCCAAGCAAUUGGGAACAUCUAAUCAUUUGCAUCCCUUCCAAUAGCACAUAAGAUCUGACAUUGACAAAUUCCUUUCAAGAAACAACCAUCUAACCCCACAACUUGCCUACAUCCACUAAGGAACCCUUUCUUACUAGCAGCAAAUCAAAUAUACAUUCUUUCAAACAAUGCCUUGGAGUGCAUAUCUGGCUUUUCAACCUUCAAUGUAACAGUACUCCCAAGAUUUUUCUCCCUAAGCUCCUCCGCAUAAUCCCACAGUUUUGCAUAUUCCUUCUUAUAGUUUCCCAUCAACACUUUAUAAGCAAACAACUUAGCCUUCGUACAUUGAGCUAUGCUUACAUCUAAACCUAAUUGUUCCUUGAUUAAUUCCUUGAAAGCAAUAGUUUUAAUAGUUGGCAUUGCUUUUAUUGUAGGAAGAUAAUGAUUUGCCAACCAAGAACUCGUCACCCUCCUAUUUUUGAAGCAAAUGCUACAAGCAUGCUCUGAAUGUAAGGUCUUGACAUGAAAUGAUCCAAAACGAGCAUCCACAGAGCCAGAAAUCUUCCAAGGACAACUCUCAUUAACACAUUUUGCUCUAACAAACUUCUUAUCAUUCUUUGUAAAUUUUAUCUCUAUACGUUUAAUCACUGAGUACUUUUUCAAAGCAUCUUUGAAUUGGCUACUACUAUCAAAUGUCAUAGCCACAGUAAACACAUGCACAUCACAAUUAGGAUUAUAUCUUGGAAACCUACUUCUCUUUCUAGUAAAAUCAUCUUCUCCCUCUACAUCAGACCCUAAACUGUCAUAGGCAUCUGUAUCAUAAUACUCCGUCUCGUAACCAACUUCAGCAUCAACUCCACUAUUCACAUCUAAUGGUUGAGAUGAUACUAAUACUGUGGAUGGUUCCCCUAUAAUCAAAUCCUUUGUAACCCUCCCACGAAACUCAAUUAUAUUCUGCCUUGCUUCUAGAAGUUCUUCAUUAUCAAUAUCAUCAUCAUCAGUCCAAAAUCUUACAUCGCCAAGAAAAUUUGUCUCAUCAUCAUUGUCGUCAUCCAGAAUAUCCCCCUCUAUGUCAAUAAAAUUACCUUCAUCAACUAAGUCAUUAGGAUCUAAGUCAUCCUCGUGCUCAAUAAUUGUCUCAUUUGCUAAACCAAUAUCAUUGCGAGCACCCACACUAAUCCCUUGACCAACACUCUCACUUGGGGAAGCAUCCUCACCCUCACCACCCCCGUGACCAAAACCCUCACUUGGACUAGCACCCUCACCCUCACCCUCACCCACACCCACACCCACACCAACCCCUUGACCAUCACCCUCAACUGCCUCAUCGAUUGCAAAAUUUUCUUCAUAUAUCUCAAUUAACUCAUGAUGCAAAUAACUUAAAAGUAAAUCAAUGACAUUGCUCUCAUUCCAUAUAUAUCUCAACCCAUCUUCUAGAGACUUUCCAGGAAACUUAAAAUAAAGUUUUUCAAAUUUACACUUUACCCCAUUCUCAAUAUCUCUAAUGAAGCUUUCAUAGCUCCUUGAACCGAUAUCAACUUUUACCAAAUCAAUCUUACCCCCAACAUAUUCAAGCAUUGGGCAAGGGUAAAAAUUUCCACCAUGGAAAAGGCAAGCCCAUGCCGACUUGUCGCUCAUCUCAACCCUAUACAAAAGAACGCAAUAAAUGUUGUAAGAAGCCACAUAAUGGAGAUUUUAACAUGAAUGGCCAAAAGUGCUAAAUAAAUAUAAAGAGUUUGACUUGAGCAUAAGUGCAAAAUCCUUCCCGUCUCAUAAUUACAAGUGAAAUUCCUCUCUAAUUUACAGGAAUUAACUAAUUCAAUUAAUAUCUAGUACCUAUGAUAUGAGAGUUCAAGGUGAAUAGUGGCAUAAAAUUAGUUUGCUUUCAAGUUAGAUAUUUGGUUUGUAUAGCUACUUGAAGCCAAUGCCAAAAAUCUUAGGGCUGAUAAAAGAAGUUUUUCUCCCAUAGUAGACGUGAUCUUGUUUUUUUUGCAACUAAUGAAGGAUAAAAAAGACCAUGAUGCUAGGUUCUUUGUAUACAGAUAUAGCAGGUCAAUGUAUUACAAGCAGCAUGGCUCACAAGGCUUUAAUUUUAGAAUGUUACUUCAUAUUAUCUCAAUUCUUUCCUACCAUCACUUCCAUGGAUAUCGUCUUUUGGCUUUUCAGGAUUUUUUACAAUAGUUUCAUUGUUUAGGCGGCUGAAGAGUGUACUUCUAUGCUUAAACUUUGAAGUUAAUUUGCUCAGAAUCACCGAUCUACUUUCAGUUUAAAACCAAACGGUUGGUUUGUUCAACGCACGCGAAGAAAUAAGAUAUUUUGGGAACAAGACAAAGACAAUCAUAGAGACAAAAUAAUUUGGGAACACGACAAAGACAAACAUGGAGACAAAACAUAGUUUAGGACCACGACAAUAUACCUUUUGAUAGAUUUUGAUUGACUUCACGACCACCCACCACGUAGCUCACCACUUGCCGACAACACAAUCAAAUUGGGACCACCUCAUUUGCUUGUGUUUGCUGGAUGAACGAAUCAGGUCAAGUUGUGCGCGAAUCGAGUCUUCGGGUCUUCGGGUCUCUCGUCUUCUCAAUUGUAGCAACGAACAAAUUGGGUCAAGUUGUGGCUGAAUCAGGUCUUUGGGUCUUCAGGUGUUCUCGAUUCGGGCAAGAAGCGACGAACAAUGGCGUUGGCCAAAAAGGGGCUUGAUUCAUGAAGGAUAUUGAGGAAAUCACAAUAUGAGAUCAAAUCAGCUCAAAAUCUACAAGAAUUUCGGAGGAGAUCUCACUAGGGUUUUUUAGAUGAUUUUGGAAAGAAGCAAGGAGCAGCCGCACGACUUUUCUCUUCUGCCUUUUCUCUUUGGCUUUUAUUUUUUAAAAAAGUAAAACGACGACGUUUUGCUCUCCGGUGCCAUGUCAGCGUCGGCAACGCCGACCGGUGCUGACUAGGAUGCCACAUCAGAUUUUUCCGACUAUGCAUGGCCGGAUGGACUGAACUGGAACAAAACCAAAAUGUUUAGGACUAAAUUGGCCAAAAAAAAAAAAAGAGUUUAUGACUGAAUUGGCAUAAUUGCAAUAGGUUUAGGACUUUUUUGGUAAUAUUCCCUCAUGGGAUAUGGAGAAAACAGUCUCAUUAGAUGGACAAAACUAAACUAAUUCUGAUGGAGGUGGUGGUGGUGGAGGAGUAUAAGGACAUGGAGUUUAUAAGCUCACUCCCCACACAUUACAUGAAUGAUUCUAAGUUCUAUUUAUAGAGCAACUCCACCAACUUUAGAGGCAUCCGCCGAUUCAUAUUCUUACCCACUAAGCAUACUUGUUUUACAAGAAUUAUAUUUUGAAGCCACUUCCUUUGACCGACUUUCCUUGUUCACACUAUCUGACAAUAAGAGGGUCUUCUUGGCUAAUUUGACCACCACCUAGAAUUUUACAACUGGCUGUUCUUGCAUCUCACCAUCAUCACUUCUUUAGCAGCUAUUCUUGACUUUUUUUUCGUAAUUCAAGCAAGUGCAAAAUCCAAGCAUUUAUGAGUUUGGAUAUGUAAUUUUCAUGAGGCAUUUUUGGCCAAGCAAAGGGUUUAGUUGGGAGGAAAUUAAGGCGGAAAUUGCACUUGUGGCUUGCUCGUUGCGCCUCAGCAGCUAUUCUUGACUUAUUUUCAAGGUUUCCCAAGUCUUCUUCAACUUGGUUAUGCUUACUGUUUCUUUUGCUGAUGCUUGCUUGCAUUCCCACGCGAGUCUUCUAGGUUCAGUUAACCACCACCAUUCUCAACAAUUCUAGACAAUCUUCAACAUGGAUGGUGCUGCCAACGUUCUUGCCUUCUUGAUUAACUCGGUAGUUUUUAGAUAAUUUAGAAAAAAUAGAUCACAAUUUCCAACAUAACUAAUUCCGCAGCACCAUGUCGUGGAAGUUCUAGAGUCUGAAGCAGCUCUUUAAGCUGGAUAUAAGCAACAACUAGUUUCGCCGGGAAAUUUCCAAAGGUCGCACUGGAGCACCUAGCGCUAAACUUCUUAGACCUCUGUUUCAACGAGUUUAAGCUCUUUGACAGAGAUUUGGAAACCUUUUUCAUCGAUGAAAACCAAUCUUGUCUUAUGCCACGAGUAAAACGUUAGGAACACCCUAUGAGGAGCUUCACCACAUUUGCUGGGGAAUUUUUCGAUUAGGGUUUCUUUAAAAGGCAAAGGGAAGAAGAUGAAUAAUAUAGGUGAAGGAAAGAUCGAAAACAGAAGAAGAUAAAAGACAAAAGAAAGAAAAAGAGAAAAAAAAUUGAGAAAAUAGACUCAAUACUAUGUCAUUUUGUUAAGGUAGUCUACAUUAGACGUCAUUAGUAAUACCUAAAACCGUCAAUGCUGGCGAGUCCACAGUAAUAUUUUUAGACAAUAAUUUAUCGGAAUGAUUUCAUUUGAAAAUUAUCAUAAGAUUUAAGAUUGCAUUGACAAAUUUAAAAGUUUGGAGUUUAAUUGUGAGUCACACAAUAAAUUUAGGAUUUUUAGGUGAAAUUAUCUCAUAUAUUUCUAAAUUUGAUAAAAUUAUGCCAAGAUUGAGGUCUAUUAUACCAUGGACAUGUAGCACCAUUCUGAAAAUUGUUGAAUAUAACGACAUACAAGAAAUAAAAAGAAGGUAAUGGGAUAUUUAGAUAAUUAAAUAGAAAUUAAAAAAUGGAUUAGUUGAGAGGAUGAGAGUAUUAUUUAUGGGGCAAUCACUCUUUUGUGGAGCCUUCUAAAAGCUAGCGUCUUGAUUUGAUUGAAUUACAAAAGAGAAAAUUAUAAUAGUCAGAUGUUUAAUGGAAUUUUUUUUUUUUUAAAGGAGUGAUUGAGACUUACCAAGAGAGUAUGAUUGAAGUGUACUCUCUUUUCUGUGGAGUCUUCAAAAAGUCGAAGAUCUAGCAUUCAUAUAUGAGAUUUCUACGGGCACGUGUCUCUCCAUACAUUUAUCAUCCUCGUUUACUCUCUUUCAAUAUUUAUAUACUUUCUCUAUCCAUACCAUUUUUCUUUCGAGCAAACUUAUCAAGAUGGUAAUUGUAUUUUUUUUUUUUUUUACUUAUAUGUAUGUUGUAUGCAUAAUUCGUUUCAAUUACCAAGUCAACUCCGCACCUUCGCAAAGUGUUUGUAAUGUGAAGACUAAGAGUUGAACCCUAUGCCAUGAGUAUGCUUGGAUCUUGUCCUCUUCACGUGAAUAUAUAGAGAUGCACACAUUCGAAUACGUGUUCAUAUCAUCUAAUCUCAUAUUACAUGUUAGAGAGAUGAGAUUAGUCAUAUAGUAAUGACGGAGGAUGAAAUGUAAUGUUUUGAGACCAUAUUUUCCUCUAUUGAAUUUUGGAUUGACGGACUUAUGCACAUUUACAAGCUUGAUGAGAGGAUAAGAGAAAUGAAGGCUCAAGUGCAUCCAACAUUUACAAGCACAUCAAACCAAAGCUAUUGUCAAUUAAAUCCGGUUCAGAAUGAAAAUGAUCAAGAUCGGCUGGAAAACUUAAACGUAGCAUCAAUUGAACAAGUGCAAAUACAAAAGAUUUUUUUUCACACCCAAACGCGCACGCGCGCGCGCACACACAUAUAUAUAGAGGUUCUGGGUAAUUUAAAGAGAGAACCCAAGCCAUUAUUAAGUAUUUUUAUAUAAUAACUCUUUGGAGGGAUUUCCCCAGCCAACUUUGACGACCCUCUCUUUCGAUUUUAUCUUUCUUGCUCGGGGCACCCUUUUCAAACUUUGCUUUUCGCUAACCCCUCAUGGUUUGGCCCACCCAAGUGCUCUUCAUCACCCGCGGUUGUUUUCCAUUUCUACAUAAGAUAGUAUACAAAACCACAUAUAAUAACUAUAUUAUAAAAGACAAAGCCACAACCUUAUAAUUUGUGCGUGUCUAUGUAUGUAUCUAUGUAUGUUUGUGUGUGUGUGUGUGUGUGUGUUUAAAUGUAUAAGUGCUCUUCAUCACUUGUUCUUGUUUUACAUUUCUAAAUCAAAUAAUAUACAAAAACGGCCACUUGUAAAUUCACACCCGCACACCAAAAUCACCCCCCCCCCUCCUUUUUUCCCCGACAAAAAAAGUUGUCUUCAUCACUUGGGGUUGUUCUUCAUUCUGCUUGUGUGUGUGUGUGUGUGUGUGUGUGUGACGUGUGUAUAGGGUGAAGGAAUUCAGGUUUUUAAGCUUUACUUAAGCUAAGAGAUCCCUUUUUUAGUACGGGCAAUGCCCAGAUUUUCUCUAAUUAAACGACAAACAUCCACAACACCUCUCUUAGAUGAGUUGUGAAUUUACUUACGUUUAUGACUAAGCUUUUUAAAAACAAAAUUAAGAUACUCCCAUAUGCCAGGAUCAGAAAGCGUUCUCCAUUUCAAUUUACACGUAACUGAGGAAGGGCAGCUUUUAUAGGGGAAAAUUGUCCAAAAAAAUCAUAAACUUAUUACACUUUUAUCAAUUCAGUCAUAAAUUUUUUAACUUUGCAAAUUCAUUCAUAAACAUUUUCACUUUUUGCCAAUUAAGUUCAUUCAUCCAAUUUUUGCUAAAAAAUGAUGACAUGGACACCGGUAGCAUCACGUAGGACCACCGGCAUUAAUGUGAAUAAUUUUUAAUAAUAUUUUUUUUGAAUUUUUAUUAUUUUUUCUGUUUUCUUUUCUUUUCUUUUGUGGCUUUAUUCUUUGCCUCUUUCGGUGGCCAGCCGGCCAUAGCCAGCCGAUUGGCCUCACCCGCCUAGGCGAGGCCCAACCAGGCAAAGGCAAGCCUCGACGAGGGGAGCCCUCACCCAAGCACGGCCCGGCAAGGGUCGUCUAGGCGAGGCCAACCUGCGCCUAGGCCAGGGCGGCCUCGCUGGGUGAUGGCGACGCCAAGUGAGGUCGCCCUGGCCUAGGUGAGGGCUGGCCUAGCCAGAUCUGGUUUGGGCACAAGUCGGCCUUGCCCAAGUAACCCUUGCUUGACCGCACUUGGGCUAGGGCUCCCCUUGUUGAGGCUCACCUUCGCCCAGCCGGUCCUUGCCUGUGGUGGACGAGACCAGCUGGCUAAUUGUGGUCGGUGACCAGUCAUCCCUUGUGGCCAGUUGGCCACUAGAAAAGGCAAAGAAGAAAGCCAAAAAAAAAGAAGGAAAAAUUCAAAAAAAAUUAAAAAAGUAAAAAAUUAUUAAAAAUUAUUUACGUUAAUGCCCACAGUCUUACAUGGUACUGCUGGCAUCCAUGUCAGUAGUUUCCGGCCAAAAUUGGCUGGAUAAACUCAAUUGGCAAGAAGUAAAAAUGUUUAAGACUGAAUUGAUAAAGUUAAAAUGUUUAUGACUGAAUUGACAAAAGUGCAAUAUAUUUAUGACUUUUUGGAUAAUUUUCCCGCUUCUAUAGUCCCCCAGAAAAUGGAUUUUCGUGUGGUAACUUUUGGUAAUUCUCCAUAAUUCUAUAAAUACCAUAACAUACAUAAACUUGAAAUUAUUUUACAAUCCAUAGAACAAGAUUUACACUUCUUUUUUUCAAUAUUGAGAGGUGGUCAUCCGUUCUCCCAGUCCUAAACUCGAAGAGGAGCAUAUAAGGGGCAUGGGAAAAUCGAGCGAAAUUAGGUUUGGAAUCUCGGUUCCUUUAAAUAUGCGGUCCCCCCCACGUCUUGUGGACGUGCUUGGCCAACUAGUCUGUCGUUUCUUCUAUGGGUCACCACCAUCAUUUUGUUGGGGGUUCGGAAUUCGCCUCCUCUCCCCGGUCAGCACCAUCAUUUUCAACCCCAUGGGAGUUCGGAAUUCACCUCCUCUCGCCGGUCACCACCAUCAUUUUCAAUCUCUCGGGAGUUCGGAAUCCACCUACUAUCCCCGGUCACCACCAUCCCUCCCUCCUUCCCUCUCUUCCUCAGCGUCACUUCGAUCGCCAGGGAAUUAGGAAUUCACCUCUCUCCCCACAACCAUCGCUCCCUCCUUCCCUCUCUUUUCUCAGCGUUUGAAACCCGGCGCAUCGCCACGACAGAAGCCAAGGUACCCUUCGUUCAAGCACGCGCAGGGUUAACGCAGAACUGUCCUCCUAGGCCAUUCAAGGCCUCUCAUGAGUCGCACCACUACUGGCGCACUCGUUCUCUUACCCAAGUUCAUUGCCACCCAACUCCUUCCCUUUUCCUCUCCUUCCAUCCCUGCAUAAUCCUCCGCCUCCGUUUCUAUCAUCCUGCCACCACCAACCUUUGAGACAUCCCAGAGCUCAGCUUCUGGCGUAUGCACAACUUAGCAGCAGUGUUGCUGGUGAUUAGCUUUCCAAAGGGCUUUCAAUCUUCUUUUCUUGUUCUUAUUCAGGUUCGAGGGAAAAAAAGGGUCUAAAACUGUAGCUGGAAAUUUCAGACCCCCCAUACUGAUCUCACCCUUCACCUUGCUCUCUCCAUCAGUUUCGUUCCUUUAUGUGCGUCGAAGCUAAUCUAAGACCAGCUCAAGCACACAAGUCCACGAGAGAUUAAGGGCCCAAGAGAAAGAAAAUUAUGGUUCAGAUUAUCAACAAGGUAUUGGUGCUACUGAUCGGGAAUGUGGAAAGACUGGAAGAACUUAAACUUGGGGAUCACAUCUACACUUAUAGGCGAUAUGGCUUAUACAGCCAUCAUGGUUAGUGGUUCAUCUUCCUCUUCUUCCUUUUCCAUUAUCGUUCUUGUGACAUGGAUACCUGAAUAUGUUGCUCAACUAAAUUAUCUUUUCUUAUCUUUUAUUGUUGGCCUAAGAACAGAAGUUGUAUCUGCUUGAGUGUUCAUUUCAGGGAUCAUCAAAUCUUGCCAUUCCAGGUUCUUGCUCCGAUUUAACAUUCGAUAACAUUUGCAUGUAAGAAACAAUUGAUGUUGAAUUUAGUUCUCCUUCAACGGUUGCCUUCUUUUCAUUUGAAGGGCUGUUCAAGCGGCUGAUCUUAAUCACACAUGGAUUUCCAAAAGAAACAAGUCAACAAACGAUGAACAAUUCACAAAAAAGAAAAUGAUAACGAUAAUCUUGUAAACCCUAAUUGCUUGGUAACCUUGGAGAGAAACUCCCUGACACUCGAUAACAUUUGCACAGUAAGAGACGAUAGAUGUUGAAUUUGAUUCUCCUCAUCUGUUGCCUUGUUGUUAUUUUAAGAGCUGUUCAUAUAGCUAAUUUUAAUCACACAUGGAUUUCCAAAAGAAAUAAGUCAACAAACAAUGAACAGUUCACAGAAAAGAAAAUGAUAACAAUAAUCUUGUAAACUCUAAUUGCUUGGUGACUAGAGAGAGAGAAACUCUAUAACAAGCCAGUAAAAGUCACUCUUUGGGGUUAACACGCUACCGAUCUACCCAGAAUGAUUGAAACGCCCCCAAAGAAAGAAAAGUCUACAGGCCCCUUAAAUCCCAAAGAGCUACCCUUACAUUCGGCCACAGACAUCAACUUAUUUCUUUAUUUGCUUAACCAAAAGAAUCAACCAUCAAAGUUCUUUUGUCUGAUAGGAAGCACUAUCUCAUGGACAUAAACACGGUCUUACAUAAUUAAACAUAUUAGAUCAUAGAGAUCAUUUCACUUGAAAAUAGAAUGAAGUAUAAUUUAUGCUAGAUAUAGCCAUAUAAGAGAUAGUAUUCACAUGGUAAACCAUUUUUAAUAAAAAUAAAUAGAUGCUGGCCGGGCCAUUGGAUAAAUCUCAUCGGCAUGAGAAGGGACACGCCCACAACUAACGGUUUUUAGCAUUUCAUGUCAUUCAAGGUUGGACUAAGAUAAAACUCCGAUAUCAAAUCCGGGAGAGUACGAAGACGUGAUAGGGCGUUUGUUUUCUUUUGCCGAACUCAUAAUGAGACUAUUCAGCAUUUUCAUGCAUACUUUAUUUUGUCAACUUUUAGCAGAAAUUUUCCAUGACCCUCAUACCACUCCUCCCUGUCUCUCCCGUGACACGACUCUCCUAUUUCUUUCUUCUUCAUCAUCUUUUCUCGUUCGGUCGUCACUCUUUCUGAAAAUUUUCCUUCACAUUCUUAUGUAGUCUAAAUUAGUCGGUGUAGAAAACGUACCUCAAUUAGAUCACUUAAAAUAUUGACACUUGUGAUUUUUCAUGAUCGAAGUUUAAUCUCUCUUAGUCCUUGAGUCUCCAACACAAAGAUCUAACAUCACGCACAUAGCAAAUUGCAGAUCUCAUUGUGGUAAUCUACUGUUGCUCAAUCCACAUUUUAAUCCAUCCAAACUUAUAAAAUAUGAUUCACUUGUGACAAUCCUCUCUCACUCAUGGUUCCGCAUCUAUUCACUUUCCAAAUUGUGUAAACUCGUUGAACUAGAUGGGCCGCCAGUGAGAUCCAAGGGAUCCAAUGUAUGAUAUGCUAUGGACUCAUGUGUGUCGGGAGUAUGUAAGUAUUGCUCUUUUAAGUUCUUCCAAUUCAAUGGAGUUGGGUCGUUAAUAUUAAUAAGUAAUUUAUAUGUAAUAUGGAUUGUUUCUGAAAUUAAAAUGUUUAUAGCUAAUACGUCAUUUUUUAACAGCCUAUGAUAGUUAUGAUGCGAUGUCGUGAUUCCACGAAGUUUGGAAUUAAAGAGUGAAAAUGUUCGUGGAUUCUCAAGUGCCGCAACUUCUGAUUUCUGACUUUUUCAUCUGGGAUAAUCAGAAGUUGGCCAUCGGUAAACCAGUGUACUUCCAAAUUGAGUAACCAUCUCCGCUCAAAAGCUGUCCAAAGAGCGAAAUGAUAGCAUAUUGAGCAAGAUCGGAGGAGAAAUUUGAAUAUGUGGAGAGAAUGAUUUGGAAAGAGUAAUGACCCGAAGAUCUGAAACUCAUUUGACUAUCUGGGACAAUUGAUGAUUUGUUGUAGGACCAGCAUUCAGUUAAGUGUGCGAACGACAAUGUCUACCGCUCCCAAUGGUAGAAUCAAGGAUGGCGGAGGAUGGAUUGAUUGAAGAAGUUGGUUACUAUAUAUAACACGUAAUUCAGGCUACACUUGUUAUGCAACAAAUAUUUUGCUAGAAAAUAUUUUCCGACGUAUGGAUUGCUUAGGAAAAUGAUUCAACGGAAUAUCUUUCCAUAGUCAAUGAAAAACCCAUACUUAAUAAUAAUAAUAAUAAUAAUAAUAAUAAUAAUAAUAAUAAUAAUAAUUUCCUUAUCUAUGAAUUAAUAAUUUCCUUAUCUAUGAAUUAAUAAUUUUUUUUAUAUUGACUCUCGACGCUUGAUAAUAUGAUCUCAGAACUUUAGUAAAAUGUGUAUUAAUAUGAUAUAUGUUCAAUUUAGUCAUCGAACUAUAUAAAAAUGUUCAAUAUUGUGCUUCUAUUAAUUCAAGUUCAAAAACAGCGUUGAACAUUUUCAGGGAAAAUUGUCCAAAAAUCUUAAACCUAUUGUAUUUUUGUCAAUUCAGUUUUGAACUUUUUAUUUUUCCAAUUGGUUGGAAUUGAAUAUAACAUUUACUUGAUAUCAAAGAGUGGAGUUGCAUUCAUGGUAAAUUAUUCAAUUUCAAUUCCCCAGUUGCGAGGGAUCCGGGAUUUAUUAUGUGUCCAAGAUUACAUGAUAAAAAAUCAUGGUUUCUAGAAUCAUCGCAUCAUUGUAUAAUAUUCAACGACAAAGACGGUCCGACGCCCCAUGAUUCACCCAACUCAAUGCCGUACGUAACUUUUCAGUUAGCACCUUCCAUUUAAAAUAUCCCUUAAAUUAAUUCUAACGCCUCUCACCAAGAGAAAGAUUCCCAUUUCGCCCCUUCCAUGCAGCUUCCCUCGUGUCCUCUAUAAAUUAUGGUUUGCGACCGUCUCUCCAAUUCCAGGCAAUUCUAGAGAGAACUGAGAAUGGUGAAGUCUUCCAAAGCAGUUAUCUCCUUUUUUUGUUAACCCUCCUGUUGUUCUCCGACAUGUCUCGAGCUGCUCGGCCGGCACCGGCUGGAGCCGAUGUGGCAAGAACUCGACCCGAGGUAGGUUGUCUCCUGUUUCCCGAAAACAAAAAACCGUGUUGCUAGGCACUUCAAGACUUCUCAUGAGUCGCACCACUACCGGCGCACUCGUAGUCUUACCCAAGUUCAUUGCCAUCCAACUCCCACCCCUUUCCUCUCCUCCCAUCCCUGCAUAAUCUUCCGCCUCCACCGUUUCCAUCAUCCUGCCGCCAUCAACCUUUUGAGACAUCCCGAAGCUCAGCUUCUGGCGUACGCACAACUUAGCAGCAGUGUUGCUGGUGGUUAGCUUUCCAAAGGGCUUUCAAUCUUCUUUUCUUGUUCUUAUUCAGGUUCAAGGAAAAAAAAAGGGUCUACAACUGUAGCUGGAAAUUUCAGACCCCCCAUACUGAUCUCACCCUUCACUUUGUUCUUUCCAUCAGUUUCGUUCCUUUAUGUGCGUCGAAGCUAAUCUAAGACCAGCUCAAGCACACAAGUCCAAGAGAGAGACUAAGGGCCCAAGAGAGAGAAAAUUAUGCCUCAGAUUAGCAACAAGGUAUUGGUGCUACUGACCGGGAAUGUGGAAAGACUGGAAGAACUUAAACCUGGGGACCACAUCUAUACUUAUAGGCGAUAUGGCUUAUACAGCCAUCAUGGUUAGUGGUUCAUCUUCCUCUUCUUCCUUUCCCAUUAUCGUUCUCGUGACAUGGAUAUUUGAAUAUGUGGCUCAACUAAAUUAUCUUUUCUUAUCUUUCAUUGUUGGCCUAAGAACAGUAGUUGUAUCUGCUUGAGUGAUCAUUUCAGGGUUCAUCAGAUCUCACCAUUCUAGGUUCCUGCUCUAAGUUAACAUUCGAUAACAUUUGCACUGUAAGAAACAAUUGAUGUUGAAUUUAGUUCUCCUUCAACAGUAACCUUCUUUUCAUUUGAAGGGCUGUUCAGGCGGCUGAUUUUAAUCACACAUGGGUUGCAAAAAGAAACAAGUCAACAAACAAAAUGGGCUACAAUAGAGAUUAAACUUUGAUGGUUGAUUCUUUCGGUUAAGCAAAUAAAGAAAUAAGUUGAUGUAUGUGGCUGAAUGUAAGGGUGGCUCCUUGGGAUUUAAGGGGCCUGUAGACUUUUCUUUCUUCGGGAGCGUUUCAAUCAUUCUGGGUAGAUUGGUAGCGUGUUAACCCCGAAGAGUGACUAUUACUGGCUUGUUAUAGAGUUUCUCUCUCUAGUCACCAAGCAAUUAGAGUUUACAAGACCAUUGUUAUCAUUUUCUUUUCUGUGAACUGUUCAUUGUUUGUUGACUUAUUUCUUUUGGAAAUCCAUGUGUGAUUAAAAUUAGCUAUAUGAACAGCUCUUAAAAUGACAACAAGGCAACAGAUGAGGAGUAUCAAAUUCCACAUCUAUCGUCUCUUACUGUGCAAAUGUUAUCGAGUGUCAAGGAGUUUCUCUCCAAGGUUACCAAGCAAUUAGGGUUUACAAGAUUACCGUUAUCAUUUUCUUUUUUGUGAAUUGUUCAUUGUUUGUUGACUUGUUUAUUUUGGAAAUCCAUGUGUGAUUAAGAUCAGCCGCCUGAACAGCCCUUCAAAUGAAAAGAAGGCAACCGUUGAAGGAGAACUAAAUUCUGAAUGAAUUCCUCACAUUCAGAUCACUUCACUUUGUUGCAUUUACCAGAUACAUUCUUUUGGUAUCCGAGAAACAAUCAGAAAAACAAGACAAAGCGGAGUCACACUACUAGACUAUCAAAAAGAGUUUGUUCCACAAGUGCACAACUCCUUCCUUCUCGGUGAUCUCUCUCUUCACAAUGUUGUCGUCAUUUUUGGCCAUCGUGGUAAUUUAUUUUAAAACAUGAAAUAAGUGGCCUAGUUUUUCUUCACGGCGAUCUCUCUCUCUCUCUCUCUCGACAACAGGAGUUCCAAUUAUAAAACAUGAAACGAUGACCGAUCAUUUUACCGCAUUUGAUAUUGUUGGAUUCGGUCUUUUUUAGGAGUGUUAGGGAUAGGAUGCAUCAUUCCUCGCGACGGUAUCUGUGAUUAGACAGCACUUUGAGGCUUUCCUAUGACUUGUGACAGUUAUUGAGGGAUGUCCUUUUUUUCCGGAGAAGUUAUUAUGCCGGGAUCCAAAAGUUAUCCAGCAUACGUGGGGGAAUGUUAAUUGGUAAUGAUGCGAAACUUUCAAAAUCAGAUCUCGACCACCUAUAUUCGAUGAUGUUUGGGCCCAUCAGGAUGUCUUUUGUAGUUUAUGAAUCCCUGAAUAGGUAAACAUCGUUCUAAACUAAUUUCAUAAGUAUUCUAUAUGGUAUAUAACAUUUUCCUCUUCGAUGGCUGGUUCAUAUAGUCACUUGUUUAAUUAGCCUACAAGAACAGGGAAGGAAGAACUUGCCCCGGAAGGUUUAUGAUGGGGCCACAAUUAUUUCGUGACAAAAGGUCGGGUUUUUUUGUUUUUUUCCUAGCCUCAAAUGCGGCUUGCCUUACUGUGUGAUUAAGGCGUCAGCCCUAGAAUCCUUGGGGAGUUUUUGGGUGGUGACUUGAGCAUUGAGCAGGCUUGAGCCGCUCAGCAACAUUCUUAAGCUCAAAGAACAUGGCCGGUUCCAGCCAAACCAUGGCGGCUUCGGCUUACUUUCUCUUUCUCACACAGCCACACACACACAAUCAACAUGGGAGACUUUGAACUUUAGGCAUGGACGGGUUAGUUCUGUCGAAACAUCUCGCAUCACUUAACAAUAGGGUUUGUAUGCUCUUUAUAUACAGCCGGCCUCCUUCCACCUGUUAACUUAAACUUUUAGAUUAUACCUUCUAAUAUGAUAUCAGAAUCUAGGGAUAAGACCCAUGUUAAUUAAAUUCCACGUACCACUCCUAAUCUAGUUUGCAUGCAAGAGGUGGUGUAUUCAUAUGUUCUUUAUAUACAUUCUCUCUUUAAGUUGGACUUUCUCAAAGAGUUCAACGUGAGCCAUCAAGCAAAUCCAUAAGCCAACCUAGUUCAUACCCAAGUUCUUUGCGGCCCAGUUGACACUUGGACUAACUAACGACGAAAGUGAGAAAUGCGGCACACAAAACAAAUGUGUGAACGAUUCCCAUCAAAUCCAUUAACAUGAAAAAUUAUUAGCUCUACAACUCAACUAACUUUCCCUUCUGCAGUAAUUGUCUUUCUUUGCUCUGCAAAGUUACAAAAUCUAUGAGUCUCCAUAUUAGUAUCGCACAAAGCAAUUAUUGUCGAAGUUUGUCAAAGAAAUGCCGCGCCGGAUUCAUAUUGAGAAAAAGAAUGCAAUGUUUCUUCAAGAUUUCAACGAUGCCUUGUCUGGACGGUUCGGCGACAUCCAAACCAUUCACCUGCCAAUUCACAAAGCCCAUCAUAUACUCGGGCGCUGCAUAACCAUAAGUUCUAAUAACCUGCGUCAUAUGUGAUACGUCUUCAUCCAGACCUUUUUUUGCCAAAAUCUAUGAAAUUGCUAUAUGUGUUUUAACUUCGUUGAGAUCCCUAGGAUUAUUUUUUUAAAGACCACCAUUUCCAUAAUUCAUCCUAUGAUCUUUCCAUGGUAGGGUUUUGCUCUCUAGACUUUAGAAUCUUUGUGAGGAUCUGAUCCUUGAGGUUACGCACUUUGACUUAUUAUUACAAGAAAUGGGUGCAUGUAGGAGCCAAAUUGAGUAAACUCGUUGAACUAGAUGGGCCGCCAGUGAGAUCUAAGUGAUCCAAUGGAUGAUAUGCUAUGGACUCAUGUGUGUCGGGACUAUGUAAGUAUUGCUCUUUUAAGUUGUUCCGAUUCAAUCGAAGUUGGGACCUUAAUAUUAAUAAGUAAUCUAUAAGUAAUAUGGAUUGUUUCUGUAAUUAAAAUGUUUAUAGCUAAUACGUCAUUUUUGAACAGCCGAUGAUAGUUAUGAUGCGAUGUCGUGAUUCCACGAAGUUUGGAAUUAAAGAGUGAAAAUGUUCGUGGAUGCUCACGUGCCGCAACUUCUGACUUUUUCAUCUGGGAUAAUCAGAAGUUGGCCAUAGGUAAACCAGUGUACUUCCUAAAUCUGAUUCAUUCUAACCUAGCAGAAAGUGUAUUCUUUUUAAGAUACCUGUUAAACUAACCAUCUCCGCUCAAAAGCGGUCCAAAUAGCGAAAUGAUAGCAUAUUGAGCAAGAUCUGAGGAGAAAUUUGAAUAUGUGGAGAGAAUGAUUUGGAAAGAGUAAUGACCCGAAGAUCUGAAACUCAUCUGACUAUCUGGGACAACUGACGAUUUGUUGUAGGACCAGCAUUCAGUUAAGUGUGCGAACGACAAUGUCUACCGCUCCCGAUGGUAGAAUCAAGGAUAGCGGAGGAUGGAUUGAUUGAAGAAGUUGGUUACUAUAUAUAACACGUAAUUCAGGCUAUACUUGUUAUGCAACAAAUAUUUUCCUAGAAAACAUUUUCCGACGUAUGGAUUGCUUAGUAAAAUGAUAACACAGAAUAUCUUUCCAUAGUCAAUGAAAACCCAUACUUAAAUUCAAGAAAAAUAAUUUCAUUUUCUAUGAAUCAAUAAUCAUUUUUUAUAUUGACUAGGCAUCGACUCUUGGACCAAAGACUUGAAAAUAUGGUCUCUGAACUUUAGUUAAAUGUGCAAUGUUAUCCUUGAAUUUUUAAUUUUUUUAAAUAUGAUCCUUGAACUUUUGGUACAUGUUCAAUUUAAUCCUUGAACUAUAUGAAAAUUUUCAAUAUUAUCCUUCCAUUAAUUCAAGUUUAGAAACAACAUUGAACAUUUUUUAGGGAAAAUUGUUCAAAAAGUCCUAAACCUAUUGUACUUUUGACAAUUUAAUCCUAAACCUUUUAUUUUGCCAAUUGGUCGCAAUUUACUAACAUGAAUAUUGGUCAUCCUAUGUGGCAUAGUGGGCGUUGAUGUACAAAAAAAAUAUUAUUUUUAAAAUAAUAUUUUUUCGAAUUUUUUAGAACAUUUUUAAAAAAAUUUGUUAACUUUUUAUCCCUCUCUCUUCUUCCUCUACCAGUCACCUAGCCUCAGGCGACCAGCUAGAGGUUAUGACUAGUGAGGGUUGGCCUCACUGGGAUCUAGUGAGGGGCAACCUCAUGGGCCUUGGGCAAGGCUUGCUUUUCGUGCGGCUGACCCUCACUCUCACUCAAAGAAGGCGAGGGGCGACCUUGCUAGAUUCAGCGAGGGUGAGCCUUGCUUAAGGCCUACGAGGUCGUCCAUCACCAAAUUUAGUUCCUAGCGAGCCGACCAUCACUAGUUGCAACCUCCGGUCGAUCGCCAGAGGCUGGGCGACUGAUAGAGGAAGGAGAGAGAAGGAAAAAAAUUUAAAAAAUUCGAAAUAAUAUUUAUAACCAUAAUAAAUUUUGUUCACGUCAUCGUUAGCUGUUCCAAGCCGGUUGGAAGUGCAGAUUUCGAUGCCGGAAAAUUCAGGGGAAAAACAGGAGGAGGAGGAGGAGGAGGAGGAGGAGGAGCGAGAUGGAUGACCUGGAUGAGAAGCUGGGUCUUGGCCGAGGGAGAGAAGCCGGCGAUCUCGACGACGUUGCCAGCGUGGAGAGGGAUCCGGUGGAGCGGAGGAGGGAGCGAGAGCGACGGGCGCAACGCCUGGGCUCGGGCGAGCAUCUGCCUCGCGCUCUCGUCGCCGUUUAUCCAGCUCUUCGCUGCUGCUGCUGCUUCGCUCAUUUCUCGAAUUGUUUUAGCUCCCUCGCUCGCUGGCUUUUUCUCUACGGCUGCCGCUGAAGAGGAGAGAACCGAGAGGGAGUAGAAGUUUGAAAUUCUAGUCUCUCAACUUUGUGAUUAUAUCACUCUUGUCCGACUCCGCGCGUUCAGAAUGAUACAUCCAAUUAUAUUAAUGAGUAAUGCGAGAGUACUUGUUAACGAUGUCAUUUUCUCACUUACCUUCUUUUCGCUUUUGAAUUUUUGAGUUUGCAGAAAUUUCAAACUUAGCAAUUUUUGUGUUAGCUAGAUUAAAAGCGUGUAUUAUAACCAUUAUGUUUCUCUGUUUUUCAAUUCUUCUGUUUUUGAAAACAAAUUUGGAAUAAAAAUAUGUUUAAUAAGGUAAUUUCAUUUUUCUAUUUUUAAGAUAAAUUUUUAGCUUAGGAAUGAGUUUAAAAUAGACAUAGAAAUAAAACCUAUUCUCAUUACUUGCCCUCGCCAUUUUUGGUCACCUGCUCGCUGCUAGCCCCCCAUCGCCCAUCAAUGUGUGAUUUCUAUAUCAACGCCUUCAAUUCAAUUGAUUAAGGAUGUCUUAUCUCACCAAAGAGUAGAGCACAAUGAAUGGAAAAGAGCAUAGAAUAAGAUAUUUAAGAAGGUCCAUCAAAAACAAAUUUCUAUUCCAGGAAUAGAAAUUUUGUAUUAAACAUGCAUCUCUAUUUAAAAACUCAUUUAGGGAUAGAGGAAAUAGAAAUAAUAAAAAAAAUUCUAACAAAAAUUUAUUUUCGGAAACAUAAUGGUUAUCAUUCGACCCUAAACACCGAACUUUGAUGCGGUUAUAAAAUCUUUAGGCAAUAAUUUCAACCCAUCGUACUGAGUUGAUAAGGUUAAUUUUCUUUAUGGGCAGUCUUAAUGAAUUCAUUACACAGCUAUUUUUGGUCCACUGCUAUUCUUAGGUAUUCUUUAUUUAAUUCAAAAUCAAUAUAUCCCAAAAAUCCAUUGGUUGUUCUUUUAUUUAUGAAAAAUCAUCCAAAAAGCCCUAAACCUUUUACACUUUUACCAUUCAAUCAUAAAACAUUUUUAAUAUUGCCAAUUAAGUUCUAAAUCUAUAACACUACCAACAUCCACGUUUAUGAUUUUCGAUUAAAAUUGAUUAUAUAGACUCAAUUGGCAAAUUAUCAAAAGACUUAUGACUUUAUUUGUGUUAUUUUCCCGAAUAGAUUCUUCAUUGGUUGCAAACCGGUGGUACGGCCUUGUCGGCUCAGGAGCGUCACAAUUGGACCCUUGUUGGGCCGCGGCCAUUAGGAAAAAGGGGCUUGCACUUGCAGGCACAGCACCUUUGCUCUUGGCACUGGCCUGGAAAUGAAAAAAUAAGUCUAAUCGUUGGGGCCGAGGCCGAUUGGCCAACUUUAAAAGAAAAUCAUAAAAAUUUCUUAUAAAUUAGAAGUCUCUUCUUCUCCUUCUCACCUUCAUCCCUCUCGCAUAUCACCAAAAAAAAAAAGACUUUCUAAUAAAUUUCAACUUUGUAUAUAAGAUUCCCUCGUUAUUUACUAUAUAUGACCAGUUUGAACAAAAAAAUGCAUCCGAUUUGGGAGACCAACCAAGUAAAGAAGAGACGGAAAAUCUAAGAGACUAAAAGACUUUCAUGUAAUGUGCAAACAAUGUCAAAAAAGUUUUCAUCAAGAUCUAUAGGUUGUGUGGAACAUUUGUUGCUACACAAAUGGCAUCCUCGCCAUCAAAUGGGGUGGUGUACGUCCAACAAAAGUAGGUUGUGCAUAAACCCUAACCACUAGAUUGAGUAUAACCAUAAAAUAUCGUAUUCUGUUUUUGAUGUAUUGUGUACUCACCUUUUUUUAUUAAAAAAAAUUGAAAAUUUUAUUAUGCGUUGAUUUUUUGUGAUUCUCAUUGUGAACAUUAUGAUGAACUAAAUAAAAUUUAUGUUUCCACGAGUUUUUAUUAAAUUUUAAUUUAUUGAGAAAUUAUAAAUUAAAAGCAAAAGAAAAACAAGCCCAAGCAUAAUGUACUCAACUAUAAAGAAAGUUAUACCGAUGUUGUCAAUCAAGUAUUAGUCCGUAUCUAGUCAUACAACUUCAUUCACAAUACAUGAAUCCAAACUUCCCAUUACAAGCUGUCUCCUCCACAUUCAUGUAGAAAUGUAAAAAUUCUUCAACAUAUCACUGAUCUAUCUUUGCUACUCAUACCUAAAACUUCUGAGCUAAGCCUAUGAAAUAAACUAACUUUAAUUACAUUAGUGCAUGUGACUAGGCAAUAAACCUGAUGGGAUAUCAUAUAUAAUAUGAUUAUAUCAAUUCACUCGAUUGGUCAAUCACAUGUGUUAUAACACUAAUAGGUUUUUGAGUCUUUUGACUGCUUCUACAUAUGUCAUGGGGUGAUUUGUCAUGUUACAAAGUCAUUCAACUUCAAGUGCACCAUCAACCAUUUUAGGAUCUCGCUUCUUCAUUUUCAUGUCUCUCCAUCAUGAAUGCGAAUUUUUGAGAUAAACUUACCUAUGUGCACUUACACAUAUUUUCAUCUUUUUUGACGGUCAACUUCAAUUCAAGGACUCGAUAAGAAGAAGGGGAAAAAGCUAGUGUAGGGACCAAAAGUAGACUCUCUUUGCCUUUAAAAAAAAAAACCCAAAAAGACAUGCAAAACUUCUCACUUCCACUCAUGGGUUCAAGCUCUGCUAAAAGUGGGCCAAAAGGCCCGGCCCAUGAUACCCGACUGUGGGCCGGGGCCUAGACAACGCACAAAACCUAGCCUCAAAGGCCUGGGGUGAGAGGCCCAGACCCUUCGUCCGCUCGUGAAAGGGCACUUUAGCUUCAUAGGACUCCAAACAAGAGUACAAAAAAAAGGUGAAGUUCUUUGCCCAAAGGAUAAAUCGGAUCGUCCCUUUGGACAAUUUUUUAUUUUUAUGAAUGACCAUUUUUUCCUUAGUCUCUCGCUUUCGCUUAUCUCUUCAUCUCUUGUCCACUAACUUAAGCAUCAAAGUAUUCUCUUCAGGCCAAACCAACCUAGAAGGCUUCCUUUGCUUUUCAAGGUGUGCGGCUAGGUCAGGUCCUCUGGAGAGGGUAUAAUGUCACUGUGAUUCAAUUCAGGCUUGUAGCAGGCUGAAUCCAAUAGAAAAAUAAGUUAUUUACUUAUACAAGAAGAAGAACCUCAUCGCAAUUUACCAUGAUUUCUAGACCCAUAAUACAUAUGCUUCAACUUAUCAAGCAUGAGUGUAAUGAAUGAGUAUAGAUUCAAUUGAUUUGUGUCGAGUCCACCAUCAGCAGAAGAAGGAAGCAACUUUUCUUUUUCUCCUGAUUCCAUUAGCUGAUUCUUGCAUUUUGACUCGGAUGGGAUGUCGGCAGGUCAGCCUGGGCCUACCCAAAGAAUCAUUACUAGGAUGUGAACGCGAUCAAGGAUAAAAAUGAUGGCUUCUGGUUGAAAGAGAAUGUUCACGCAUGCUAACGUGCCACCACUUCUGACUUUCUUUCAUGGGAUAUAUUCAAACAAGUAUAGUUUUAUACCUACUCCGUUAUCAAAGAGAGGUUUAUAACAUAAAUGACAACUUCGCAAGAAUCCUCCUCUUUGGCUGUGCCUGCGAAAAUCACCAUCUGUUGGUCAAAAAGCAGCUACCUGCAGAGCAAAAUGGAAACCAUGUCGAGCAAGAUCAAGGGAAAAUCUAAAUUCAUUGGACGGAAGGAUGAUCUUAAAAAAACAAAAUUUGAAAGUAAGUUACGCCUUGUAGCAAUAUCACAUCACAUUAAUGCUAGUAGUUCACGAUCAGUUCUGAAAAAAAUGUGUAUGUACAUACGUACACCAACUGAUUUGGUAUUAACAAUGAGGACAAACUCUGCCUGUCGUUUUGUUGGUUGUGGCAGGAGUUCGACAAAUUAACUUCGUUUUAGGCCACAACGUUACCAACUUUCAUGCUAUAUUAUUAGUUUUCUAGUGUUAUUUGUCAUCGUCUAUAUGGAUCCGUUUGCGGUGUUUAUAAGAUAACGAUAGCCUAUACCGUAAGAUUUAUUCUAAUGCCUUCUCAUGAAGUCUGAAAGUGUCACGCAUUUCAACAAACUAGAAUGAGGCUAAACUAGCAAUAGAUUGAGUAUAAUACAAAUGCACAAUUCAUUAUCACGUAAGACAUAUAUGAAAGUAGGCAUGAAAGACAACGAAAAGUGAUAAAUUGUGCAUAUAUGAAAUGCACAAUUCAAUGAGCACGAUCGCUGUUUCUUGUUGUUGAAAGAUAGAUAUCUAAAAAUCUUAAGGCAGUAUGUCAAUCAAUAUUGGAUAGGUGGGUUGAAUUUGAACAUUAUUAAUGUCCCAUUUUAUCAAGGUAGCUAACAUGAUUUUCCCAGUGGACCCAGUUUCACGGUGGGAUCAACUCUAUAUUCUUGUUUUUUUCAAGGGAAUUACUCCACCCACAUGCUAAAAAAAUUAACAUGAAUACAUUUAAAUAUAUUUUAUAACAUGGCAAUAGUUUAUAUAAAUUCAAAAAAAUUACCCAAUCAGUGCUAACUUAGUGCUAAACUUUCCAAUUUGGAAAUGUAAUCCUAAAUUUUUUCAUACUUUUUCAAUUUUAGUCCACAUGGAAUUAACUAGAUAUUUUUAAUAUAGCAGACCAAUCAUCUUUGACCAUCUUACGUGUCAUGAUUGAAGAUCUAACCUGAAACAUCUUUACUCAAAAUGAUUAUAGUAAUCUUCUGAAUUUUUCAUUUCUUUUCUUACUUUUAUCUUUUACUGUUCAUCUUCAACUUUAGAACAUUGAAACCUAGAUGUAGCCUUGGAAUUUUCUUUUAAUGUUCAUCGACCGCUUUCAAAACCAGAACACUGAAACCCGUAUCAAUGGAAGUCUCAUUGGUUUUCUUCCAGUGAUGAGGGUAUGCUCUCUGGUACUGUCAAAAAGCUUUCUCAAGUAACAUGUUCGAAAGGGCGGAUUGCUAUUCAUCUUCAAUGAGAGGGGAUUUCAAGGCGAAAACACUUCAGGAUUACUUGAAUGGAAAAACAAAGAAAAUCCAAGCCCUAAUUCCAGCAUAAUCUUCUACACGAAGUUCAAAUUUGAGUUUGGGAUUUUAUUUUAUUUUAUUUUAUUUUAUUUUAUUUUAUUUUUUUGCUGUUUUCGACGGCUACCCAUCACACCUGGUCGCCCUCCAAGCUCUUAAGCAGGCCACCUCUCCAACCCCAACAACUUCAUUGCCAACUAGGUUAGCCCCUCCGGCUGUGACUAGUCUUGCGUCUUCUGCUCCCCCACCCUGAAGACCCUAGUGUCCACACCGUCGCCGGCAUCAACCCUAGCCAUGGCGACAUUGCUGGUUAGCUCUGGGGGAGCUUGGCCUACUGGCUGACCUCACCCUCUUCCACCUCAAUUCUAACCUGUUGAAAAUUUGAAUGUGUGCGGGUGGAAGCAAGUGAUAGUUUUUGUGGUGGACAAGGGACAAGCUAGAAUAGUUGAAGAAUAUAGGUCAUGGGAUAUGGAGAAAACAAUUUCAUUAGAUGGACAAAACUAAUUCUGAUGGAGGUGGUGGUGGUGGUGGAGGAGUAUAAGGACAUGGAGUUUAUAAGCUCACUCCCCACACAUUAC
Molecule: long non-coding RNA, 30642 nt
Filed under: Eucalyptus grandis
Lineage: Eukaryota; Viridiplantae; Streptophyta; Magnoliopsida; Myrtales; Myrtaceae
Description: long non-coding RNA (EGRA_LNC005242)
Source: RNAcentral